Molecule: ribosomal RNA, 254 nt
Filed under: uncultured bacterium
Lineage: Bacteria
Description: partial 16S ribosomal RNA
Rfam family: Bacterial small subunit ribosomal RNA
Source: RNAcentral
UACAGAGGUCCCGAGCGUUGUUCGGAUUCACUGGGCGUAAAGGGCGCGUAGGUGGCUUGGUAAGUUUGAUGUGAAAUCUCCGGGCUUAACCCGGAAAAUGCAUUGAAUACUAUUUGAGCUUGAGGAUUGGAGGGGGGACUGGAAUUCUUGGUGUAGCAGUGAAAUGCGUAGAUAUCAAGAGGAACACCAGUGGCGAAGGCGAGUCCCUGGACAACACCUGACACUGAGGCGCGAAAGCUAGGGUAGCAAACAGG